CAGGCGCCUCCCUUCGCUCUUGGUAGCGUCGGUCCGCACUCCCUGUGACCCAGGACGUCAUGAUGCCUUCCCUGUUUUCUUAAUGAUAACUUGGCAGAAGAGGAGACAGGCUGCCGGGUUCUCCUCGGGUGGCUGCAUGGGUGGAUGAAGGGCAGAAAAUCAGUCAAUCAUGCUACUGAGAAUCCAGACACCUACAUUUAAAGGCAGGCCAAGAUUAGUGAUGGCUCCCUGCUCUCCAUGCUUCCUGGCUGCUCAUCUGCCUUCUUCACUGGGGUCCCCUCUCUGUUUCUCUCUCUAUCUCAAGCCUGAGAGGUACGAAUCCUACCAACCCCACCGAGCAUGGGGGAAGCUGAGACUCCAGGAGUCACAUGACUAAGUGGAGACUGUGCUGCUAGGGAGUGGCUAGUGAAAGAUAUGAACUCAAGAUACAUGGUUCCUGAGACCCUCACCACCACACCAACCUUCUUAAUACAGUCAUGAGAUGGUCUAGGACCCAGCAGAAGUUCAUCCCUCUGAGUGACUGCAGUUACUGGAAACCUGUCAGAGCUGCGGUUCUCACAUUAUAGACGUGACUGCAGAGUCCAGCUGCAUACGCAACAGACUUACCACGGCCAGUCAUCGAAAUCGAUACGAUUGGACUUUCUGUCACAUGAUGCUCAAUUCUAAUUCUCAUCCUUAAGACUGACAAGAAGGAUUCUGGCCAGAUGGCACCAUGUAUGAAGGUGCCUCCCACCAAAGCUUGAGUUUGAUCCCUGGGACUCAUAUUGUAAAAGGUGUAAGUAGAGAACCGAUUCCCAGAAGCUGUUCUCUGCACUUUGUAUGUGCACAGAGGCACGUGUGUACAUGUAUGUGUACAAGCACAAUAA
Meriones unguiculatus (Mongolian gerbil) is the source of this 866-nucleotide long non-coding RNA. RefSeq lists it as uncharacterized. Lineage: Eukaryota; Metazoa; Chordata; Mammalia; Rodentia; Muridae. The record is from RefSeq and is a predicted model, not a curated record. The transcript has 3 exons.